UCCACCUAUUGUCGCUGCAGCUCGCUCCUCCGGCCGCCCUUCGGCCGUCGUCGUCGCCAGAUAUUCCUAUAGGUUCUUCCCCGUCUCUCUUGCCUCUGACUACUUUCCUGUCUUUUUCUCUCAUGGGAUCCCCAUAUUCCUACAGCCACCAGAGGGUACCACUGGUCAUCAAAGAACGAUUUGGUGCAGUGUUGAUAAGAAAACUGGACCAGUAAGGAUGCAAAUCCAUGUGAUGAGGACUGAUGAUUGCGGAACAUCGGCAAGUCCACAGGUCUCGGUGGACGGGCCUCGCCGGUUUCGUUAAGGAGAGCUGACAAGAAGAAGGUUGCGACAUGUUUUUUUUAUCUGCAUUUAUGUAGCACAGGCAGGAGGACCGUGGAAUCAGCUCGAGCUGCUGUGUUUGGGGCCUCUGAUGUGCUGCUGCCACCCGGAGUCGACUUGCUGCUCAAAGCCAAUGCCCAAAAAGCGUUUUUAGAAGGAGAAGGAUCAUCCAAAAAAUGGAUGUACUAAAGUGGAUUCCGUGGUUCAGCAAAACUGAUGCCCUUGCUGGAUAUGCAUUCAUUGAUGGAUCUUACAUGAUGUCCUGGCUAGAUAGCUGAGAUUGAUUGUGCUUGAAUUGAAGAGUGAUGCCUUGAAGCUAGAUGGUAUCUGGUCUACAUCUAUUUUCCAGAUUAUCCCAAGCUAUUGCUUUUAUCCUCGAACUUGACUUAGCAUUAAUUCAGUUGGAAGAACAAAAUGGCCAGGGACAAACAAUAUAAAGGUUCUGUUGUGCUUGCUUAGCUGACUAAAAUUCUGGAAAACUAGAGUGUAUAAUCUACAGAACCUGUCUCUCUAAGAGGACCAAGCUGCCCGAACAAUAAUAGUACAACCAAUACAAUUAGUUGUCAUUAAUUUAAUGUGCACCAUACUGCAGUUUGAGUUCUAGGGAUGUCAUAUUGUUAACAUGGAGGAAUGUUGAAAAGAAUACAUCGGAGCGUGCAUUCUAAUUUGUAAUUAGAGACGAGCUAUUGACAUGAAUGAUUGAUGCCAGGGACUUAAAUACCCAAUGUAAUUUAAAAAAUCAAUUUGUGUUCCUUCAACAUCAGAUGUAAAUGUUCUAGGUGAUUAUAUGCAAACCUUGAGGCUACUUGAACAUACCAUAUAUUUCUAUUUUUCCUAUUGCAUAUACGAGCAUCUUUUAGUUCAACCGAACCCCUAUGAACUACCGGGAAUAGAUACAUUAGCACCAACAAAUUAUGGUUUGAGCAAUUCGUUGACAAGUAGCAAAUCUGCUGCAGACCAAGAUGGACAGUGGGGAAAUGGAUUAGCAAGGUUUUAAUAUUUCUGAUUUGCUACUAAAAAAAUGUCCGGUAAAAUAGUAAUACACUAUUGCAGGGUUCAGAUAGUGGUCAGAGCAGCUGCGACCUACUCCAUGCGUACAGUUUAGUGUAACAAUACGAAACUGGCUACAAUACACACUCAUAUUAAUGGUAUGCUUUUGGACGCUCUCGAGUUUUUGCCGGAACUACUUAGAAACCUUAACUUCCUCCAUAUAAUUCUCGAGUCUUUGCGGUGGUUAAUUAUACUGUAGGUCGCGCUUUGGCUGACAAGGAUAGCAGGCGAUGGGCAAGGAUGAUGUCGCGGCCAAGCGAGCAGUACCUCAUCAGUGGGCCAUCCUAGGUUCAGAGCAAGCUAAGUAAGAGCAGUAGAUAAGUACCUGGCCUUGGAGAGCGAGGAACUCCCGGUAUUCCAUCGGCGUUGAGGCUCCAAGAAGGAGCCGGUGAGGAUAGAGGUUGAGACCAGGCGAUACCACCAUCGCGCCGGCGAGCGCAUGCAGCAUCUAGGGCCAAGCGCUCCGGCAUCGACUAAGUUGCUACAGCCAAAUUCUUAGUUCAAGCAGAAUCACCAAGUCAAGUGUCGCAGCCUGGCACUAGCGGUACAACACCACCGACAACUCGCCGGAGUGCCCGCGUCCAAACUAAGGGCCCUUUUGUUGUGGUUUUUUUUUUGUCUUUUUGGCUUUGGCAAAAGCUAUAAAAAGCACCUAAAUAGGUGCUUUUUUGGCUUUUGGAUUUUGGAAGCCAAAAACAAAUAUCCUAUUCUUUUGGCUUCCAAAACCCAAAAGCCAAAAAAAUCACCUAUUUAGGUGCGUUUUUUAGCUUUUGCCAAAACCAAAAAGCCAAAAAAAGCCACAACAAAAGGGCCCUAAGCAUGGAUCAGGUUUUGCUCGGAAGGAGUUCCACCAUGCAAUGGCAUGAUGCACGGGAAUCACUUAAUGAGUAUGAGGGGAGUACAAAGGCGCGGCCAGCAGCGCUGAUUGGAGCAGGGGAGAAUAGAAAUUGACGCCGGCGGCGCUGGAGCUAUACAUGA
Lolium perenne is the source of this 2349-nucleotide long non-coding RNA. RefSeq lists it as uncharacterized. The record is from RefSeq and is a predicted model, not a curated record. NCBI's taxonomy places the organism in Eukaryota, Viridiplantae, Streptophyta, Magnoliopsida, Poales, Poaceae.